RNAcentral lists this ribosomal RNA (253 nucleotides) under uncultured bacterium. RNAcentral's name for it is "partial 16S ribosomal RNA". It matches the Rfam family "Bacterial small subunit ribosomal RNA", at positions 524 to 776 of the family's 1533-position model. The record is from RNAcentral.
UACGGAGGGUGCAAGCGUUGUCCGGAAUCACUGGGCGUAAAGGGCGCGUAGGCGGCUCAUGAAGGCUGUGGUGAAAGUCCGGGCUCAACCUCGGAUCGGCCGUGGCGACUCGUGGGCUGGAGCACUGUAGAGGCGGGUGGAAUUCCGGGUGUAGCGGUGGAAUGCGUAGAGAUCCGGAAGAACACCAGUGGCGAAGGCGGCCCGCUGGGCAGUGGCUGACGCUGAGGCGCGACAGGCGUGGGGAGCAAACAGG